This 253-nucleotide ribosomal RNA is filed under the name uncultured bacterium. RNAcentral's name for it is "partial 16S ribosomal RNA". It matches the Rfam family "Bacterial small subunit ribosomal RNA", at positions 524 to 776 of the family's 1533-position model. The record is from RNAcentral.
AACGUAGGAGCCAAGCGUUAUCCGAAUUCACUGGGCGUAAAGCGCGUGCAGGCGGCCAGGCAAGUUGGACGUGAAAUCUCCCGGCUCAACUGGGAGAGGCUGGACAAAACUACCUGGCUCGAGGAUGGUAGAGGGAGGUGGAAUUCCCGGUGUAGUGGUGAAAUGCGUAGAUAUCGGGAGGAACACCAGUGGCGAAAGCGGCCUCCUGGACCAUAACUGACGCUCAGACGCGAAAGCUAGGGGAGCGAACGGG